CCGCCGUGCCCCCCCCAGCCCCCCCGUGCCCACAUCUCCACCGUCGAUGCCAACGAGAGCGAGGAGGUUCGGCAGUUCCGGCGCCUCUUCACCCAGCUGGCCGGGGAGGACAUGGAGGUGAGCCCCACCGAGCUCAUGAACAUCCUCAACAGGGUCGUCACCCGCCAUCCCGACCUGAAGACGGACGGCUUCGGGCUGGACACGUGCCGCAGCAUGGUGGCCGUCAUGGACGU
Long non-coding RNA from Vidua chalybeata, 233 nucleotides. RefSeq lists it as uncharacterized. NCBI's taxonomy places the organism in Eukaryota, Metazoa, Chordata, Aves, Passeriformes, Viduidae. The transcript has 3 exons. The record is from RefSeq and is a predicted model, not a curated record.